AUUGAACGCUGGCGGAAUGCUUUACACAUGCAAGUCGAGCGGCAGCGCGGGGGCAACCCUGGCGGCGAGCGGCGAACGGGUGAGUAACAUAUCGGAACGUACCCCGUCGUGGGGGAUAACACAGCGAAAGCUGUGCUAAUACCGCAUACGACCUGAGGGUGAAAGCGGGGGAUCGCAAGACCUCGCGCGAUGGGAGCGGCCGAUAUCGGAUUAGCUUGUUGGUGAGGUAAAGGCUCACCAAGGCGACGAUCAGUAGUUGGUCUGAGAGGACGACCAGCCACACUGGGACUGAGACACGGCCCAGACUCCUACGGGAGGCAGCAGUGGGGAAUAUUGCGCAAUGGGGGAAACCCUGACGCAGCCACGCCGCGUGAGUGAUGAAGGCCUUCGGGUUGUAAAGCUCUGUCGGGAGGGACGAAGGGGAAACCCUGACGGUACCUCGCAAGAAAGCACCGGCUAACGUCUGUGCCAGCAGCCGC
Molecule: ribosomal RNA, 479 nt
Filed under: uncultured bacterium
Lineage: Bacteria
Description: bacterial SSU rRNA
Rfam family: Bacterial small subunit ribosomal RNA
Source: RNAcentral